Long non-coding RNA from Pieris napi, 781 nucleotides. RefSeq lists it as uncharacterized. Lineage: Eukaryota; Metazoa; Arthropoda; Insecta; Lepidoptera; Pieridae. The record is from RefSeq and is a predicted model, not a curated record. The transcript has 2 exons.
UUCACAUUUUAGAUUAAAUAAACUAUUUCAUGAUAGACAAUUCGGUUUUACUAAGGGUAGAUGUAGUACGGAUGCGGGUGUGGAGCUCAUGAAGCAAAUAUUCGAUGCCUGGGAAAAUAAACAGGAUGCUUUAGCUGUCUUCUGUGACCUGUCCAAGGCUUUUGACUGUGUAGAGCAUAAAACAUUAUUGGGAAAAUUACAGUAUUAUGGCGUCUCAGCAAACUCAAUAAAAAUAAUAAAUUCAUACUUGAGUGACCGAUUACAAAAAGUGGUUAUAAAUAAAGCAGAGUCUUUAGGAGCUCCUAUUCUCAUGGGUGUGCCUCAGGGGUCGAUAUUGGGGCCGUUGCUCUUUCUUAUCUACAUAAAUGACCUGCCAUUUUAUAUAAAUAACUUAUGUGAAACGGUAUUAUUUGCAGAUGAUACAUCUCUUAUUUUUAAAAUCAGUAGGAACGCAAUAAAUUUUGACGAGGUAAAUGAUGCCCUUUCCCGAGUUAUGUGUUGGUUUACUUAUAAUAACUUGUUACUAAAUUCUAAUAAAACAAAAUGUAUUAGAUUUUCUUUGCCUAACGUAAAACAGGGAUCACUCUAGAUUCUCGUUUGCAAUGGAAGCCCCAUAUUACAAAUCUAUCGGCAAGACUUAGUUCGGCUGCUUUUGCGAUAAGAAAGAUUAGAUGGAUGUCUGAUGUCGAAACGGCGAGGCUUGUAUACUUCAGUUACUUCCAUAGUGUUAUGACAUAUGGUAUAUUGUUGUGGGGCUCAGCGGCCGAUAUUCAAGAUAUUU